GACGAACGCUGGCGGCGUGCCUAAUACAUGCAAGUCGAGCGAUGAUUAAAGAUAGCUUGCUAUUUUUAUGAAGAGCGGCGAACGGGUGAGUAGCGCGUGGGAAAUCUGCCGAGUAGCGGGGGACAACGUUGGGAAACGAACGCUAAUACCGCAUAACAAUGAGAAUCGCAUGAUUCUUAUUUGAAAGAAGCAAUUGCUUCACUACUUGAUGAUCCCUCGUUGUAUUAGCUAGUUGGUAGUGUAAAGGACUACCAAGGAGAUGAUACAUAGCCGACCUGAGAGGGUGAUCGGCCACACUGGGACUGAGACACGGCCCAGACUCCUACGGGAGGCAGCAGUAGGGAAUCUUCGGCAAUGGGGGCAACCCUGACCGAGCAACGCCGCGUGAGUGAAGAAGGUUUUCGGAUCGUAAAACUCUGUUGUUAGAGAAGAACGUUAAGUAGAGUGGAAAAUUACUUAAGUGACGGUAUCUAACCAGAAAGGGACGGCUAACUACGUGCCAGCCGCCGCGGUAA
Molecule: ribosomal RNA, 515 nt
Filed under: uncultured bacterium
Lineage: Bacteria
Description: partial 16S ribosomal RNA
Rfam family: Bacterial small subunit ribosomal RNA
Source: RNAcentral